AAACACCCUAACAAAACCAUGGGCUUUGGUGGAAUCUUCCAUUUUUAUAAAAUCCGGCCAAACAUAGAGUGAGAAUUAUAUAUAGAGACGAAAAAAUCGGAGCAGAAAUUAUCAAUGGAGAACAUAGAGAGUGUAGCAAAAGCUGCAGUGGAGAAAUUGAAGGAGAUGAAUAUGGUGGAAAACGCAAAGGAGAUCGUCUUAAAAACGACGCCGUCGUUUGUAUCGGAAUAUGCACGGAUCUUAUUCAAUUGGUUAUCGGGAAAUUUGAAGCAGAUUGCCGUGAAAAUGAUGCCGGUCGUGCGAAUUUCAUCCGACUGGCUACUGAAAAAUACGAAGGAGAUUAUCGUGAAAACGGCGCCGUUUGUACGAACCUCAUCUCACUGGUUACUGGAAAAAGCUCCUCCACUGAAUUCGAUCCGAGAAACUCCACUGUAUAUCUCCAUUCCAAUCGGAUUUCUGCUGAUUUUGUUCCUCCGCCGGUGCUUCAGCGGCGGCGACGGCGGCGGAAAUGGGAAGACGAUGAAAGCUCCGGGAAGGAAUAAUGUAAGGAUACAAAGGCGUGAUUUUGAAAGCAGUCCUAAAUCCUAUUUCCGCAAUCUCCGCUCGCGGAAAUAACUAAUUUCGCAAGAGUGAUGGAAUUUGGAAGAGGUGAAUUGAAGGUAAGAGGCAAAGCAGUAAUUGAGAAGAUGAAAUCAAUAGAAGAUAUUUUGAAGAUGUUUAUGGAAUCCCCAGUAGGAUUUGUCAUUUCAAUUGGGUUGAUGGUGAUUUUGUUGUCCUUAAUUUGUCGUUGCUGCUGCAGAGAAAAUAAUAAAAGGAGAAAUGUAAUUCAU
RNAcentral lists this unclassified non-coding RNA (830 nucleotides) under Hevea brasiliensis (rubber tree). Lineage: Eukaryota; Viridiplantae; Streptophyta; Magnoliopsida; Malpighiales; Euphorbiaceae. The record is from RNAcentral.